UACGUAGGGUGCAAGCGUUAAUCGGAAUUACUGGGCGUAAAGCGUGCGCAGGCGGUUUUGUAAGACAGAGGUGAAAUCCCCGGGCUCAACCUGGGAACUGCCUUUGUGACUGCAAGGCUGGAGUGCGGCAGAGGGGGAUGGAAUUCCGCGUGUAGCAGUGAAAUGCGUAGAUAUGCGGAGGAACACCGAUGGCGAAGGCAAUCCCCUGGGCCUGCACUGACGCUCAUGCACGAAAGCGUGGGGAGCAAACAGGAUUAGAUACCCCGGUAGUCC
RNAcentral lists this ribosomal RNA (273 nucleotides) under uncultured bacterium. RNAcentral describes it as "partial 16S ribosomal RNA". It matches the Rfam family "Bacterial small subunit ribosomal RNA", at positions 524 to 796 of the family's 1533-position model. The record is from RNAcentral.